UGAUUAUGCAGGUGGCUCUGUGAUUCAUCUGUCAUCUGGGAUGGCUGGUUUUACUGCUUCUUAUUGGGGUAAUUUUGACAUGUAAUUUGCUUAUUUAUUUAUUUAUUUUAAGAAUUUGCCGUGCCUCAAAGAAGUUAGUGAUUUUAUGUAUGAUCAUCCAUGAUGGUGAUUGUGCUUAAUUAGGUAGGACCCACGCUUCCACAUGAUAGCCAACACUUCCCACCCAAUAACAUAAUUCACAUCUUAGGGGGUGCAGG
Molecule: unclassified non-coding RNA, 257 nt
Filed under: Hevea brasiliensis (rubber tree)
Lineage: Eukaryota; Viridiplantae; Streptophyta; Magnoliopsida; Malpighiales; Euphorbiaceae
Source: RNAcentral